This 316-nucleotide ribosomal RNA is filed under the name uncultured eukaryote. Its description in RNAcentral is "partial large subunit ribosomal RNA". It matches the Rfam family "Eukaryotic large subunit ribosomal RNA", at positions 40 to 350 of the family's 3401-position model. The record is from RNAcentral.
AUAUUAAUAAGCGGAGGAAAAGAAACUAACAAGGAUUCCCUCAGUAACGGCGAGUGAAGCGGGAACAGCUCAAAUUUGAAAUCGGGAAGGUUGCACCUUCUUGAAUUGUAGUCUAGAGAAGUGUCUACGGUAGCCGGGUCGGUAUAAGUUCCCUGGAAUGGGACGUCGCAGAGGGUGAGAAUCCCGUGUGUGACCGAUCGCAGGCGACCAUCAGUGGCAUCUUCCAAGAGUCGAGUUGCUUGGGAAUGCAGCUCAAAACGGGUGGUAAACUUCAUCUAAAGCUAAAUACAGGCGAGAGACCGAUAGCGCACAAGUA